Molecule: ribosomal RNA, 253 nt
Filed under: uncultured bacterium
Lineage: Bacteria
Description: partial 16S ribosomal RNA
Rfam family: Bacterial small subunit ribosomal RNA
Source: RNAcentral
UACGAAGGGGGCUAGCGUUGCUCGGAAUCACUGGGCGUAAAGGGCGCGUAGGCGGAUCUUUAAGUCGGGGGUGAAAGCCCAGGGCUCAACCCUGGAAUUGCCUUCGAUACUGAAGAUCUUGAGUCCGGGAGAGGUGAGUGGAACUCCGAGUGUAGAGGUGAAAUUCGUAGAUAUUCGGAAGAACACCAGUGGCGAAGGCGGCUCACUGGCCCGGUACUGACGCUGAGGUGCGAAAGCGUGGGGAGCAAACAGG